Long non-coding RNA from Zonotrichia leucophrys gambelii, 1428 nucleotides. RefSeq lists it as uncharacterized. The record is from RefSeq and is a predicted model, not a curated record. The transcript has 3 exons. NCBI's taxonomy places the organism in Eukaryota, Metazoa, Chordata, Aves, Passeriformes, Passerellidae.
CGGGUACUGCACAAAAGGAGCUCAGGGAGUGCCUGGGGUUGCUUUUGGCUUGGAGCGAGAGUGCAGCCAACAUGGGUGUCUUGGAGAGAGGGCAGCAGUUGUGGACUGAGAACCAAGUAACUCUUUCCAGAACAAAGGGGACAUGUCUUAAAGUACCUGGAAAGCUGUGAGUAAAGGUAGGAUAUUUGAGAGUCUGAUGGUGUCAUAGAAGGAAUGGUAUUUGAUCACUGCUUACUCUUGUUACCUCUGCUCACUUGUGCAACCACUGGCAUGCUCUAUCUUCUGAUGAAAUAAAAACCACACAAAAAGAACUCCAACCUGGAAUUACCUGAAUCUUGAGCUUAGACUCUCAAAAAAGCAACAAAAUUGAGCUGCUCCAGGGGUUGCAGGACUAAAGUCUGGUGUUCUAUAUUUGCCUUCUGUGUGAAUUAUCUGAGAUGGAAAGAUUUGUGAGCUGUUUUGUCACAUGGCCUGUCCUGAGCACUGAGAGGGUCUUUCUCUGCCACCCAUUUUCUUAUUCUUAUUGAAUUCAUAGAAACUUGAUGUCUUUGGACUGUGUCUUGAAAUUUUCCAGUAGGUACAAAGUUACUGGGGUAGACUGAUAUGCUUUAUACACAAAACAAGAUUGCAUAAAGUUUAUUCUCCUAGGAAAACAAAAAAACUGCAGUCCUAACAAUCUCUCUAGAGCAAGGCCCUGGCUUGCUGCAGUCUAGUGGCAGUCUUAUCACUUGAUUUCAGUGGGAUCCAUGUUUGGUUGCAGAACUUUAUACCUAGUUGGAGCAGUACAGUGCUUUGGAUUUGACAGAUGUGGAAGACAUUUAAUAACAUGACACAAGCUGGCUCAAUGCUUAAUUGAGUUCUUAUGUGAAAUCAGUGGUUUUCCUUUUCUUAUGCCCACAAAGACAACAUUAAUGAUGUGCAGUCAGACCCUGAUUUUUUUUACUCCUGUCUCACAAUAUGGACCACAAUGUACAGCAGAAGUGAGAACCUCUUGGACUAAAGUGACCUGGGUUUAGAUGUACUUUGUGACUGUUCAGAACAAGUUUUUCACAUGUACAAUGUUAAAUAUGAGUCUGUGUUGCAUAUUUACCUAUACUGUGGCUUGGAAAUUAAAAAUAUUGGAAGUAGCAGCAAGAGGCUUGAUUUAGGUCUCUCGAACAAAGGAAAACACCAAGUGCAGUUUGAAACAUUUGAGUAUUAAGGAUGGGGAUCAUAGAGAAGCUGAAGGACCUCAGAGCUGCAGCUUUCAGGAAUAGUUGUGUGGGGCCCAGCAGGCUGCUCUGCAUAGGUGGCUGGCAUCAGAUGCUUUUAGACAGGCAAAUAAGCCAGGAACCACUCAUGAUUCAUACUUUUGUAUACAGAGGUCUCAAGAUUAUAUUUGUAGCUCUCCUCACUCCCUUUGCUCAUAGCCAAUUCAAGAGUAAAGGA